CGUCCGGUGAGUUCAUACCCCUACCCUUUUUCAAUGGUUUUUCAAUGUUUUCAGGGGGGAAUACAAGCAAAAGUACAAGAAUAUCUUGUACUCAAUCACAUGAUUUCAGUUAAAUGGUUUCAUAAUUGUACAUUUUUUAGAAUUGAAAACCUUUUUAACAAACUGUUUAAACUUGCAGUGUUGUUUGUUUUAACCCGAUUUUCAAUUCUUAUCAUAUAUGUUAUAUUGUAUACUUUACAUAUGAUUGUUCCCACAUAUAUUGAUAGAACACAUAAAGUAUUCUAGUGUCUGUAAUAAAACACUUAUGUUCGAGUGUAAAAGACAGACACCAUUAGAAAACAUAAAACAUCUGUAUGUCCUUAACAAUACACCUAGGCUCGAGUGUGAUAGAUAAAUACCAUCGUAACACACAAAUCAAUUGUAACGUCCUUAAUAAUACACCUAGGAUCGAGUGUAAAGGAUAAGUAAUCAUUAAAUAACUUAGAACAACUGUAAUGUCCUUAAUAAAACACCUAGGCUCGAGUGUAAAGGACAGUCAUCAUUUAGAUAACACCUAGGCUCGAGUGUAAUGUCCUUAAUAAAACACCUAGGCUUGAGUGUAAAGGACAGGCACGUUAGAACUUAGUUAGUCAUAGAUACUACUUCUCUAGGCGAGAAGUGAUGAGUAAUCUUAAAGAUUGGAGACACGUCCUUGUAACACUUCCUCGGCACGAGAUAGUAAAGGACUACCCCUGUAACCAGAAUCUCCGUACGUAGGAGAGCGUGACUUGAGUGUAUAGAUCUAUACGGGACUGACAAUCCCACACCUGGUUUCUAGCUAUAGCCGAACCGAAAGGUUCAAGGGUGACGAAAGUCAUAAAAAGGAUAUUGACCACGACUCGAGUCAUAUCUAGUCUUAGUAUGGUUAAGGACUCGCAAUCUAGAUUAUUAACGUUUUAGACUCAUUUACUAGCUUUAUGUACGUAGUAAAGCUAAUGUACGUUCAAGGAUGACAGGCACACACAUACACACAUUCAGGAAAACAUGGGGUUUUCCUGGGGAGAAUGCUGAACAUAACCAGAAUCGGUAAUGAUGCACACACACAUUCAGGAAAAGAUGGGGUUUUCCUAUGGAUAACAAUGAACAUAAUCAGAAUCGGUAACAGUUAGUAUACACAGAAUUGGUAAUAACACACCCUCACUCAUUCAGGAAAACAUGGGGUUUUCCUAUGGAUAAUAAUGAACAUAAUCGGAAUCAGUAUCAGUUAGCUCACACAGAACCAGUAAUAGUUCACACUCACACAUGUAGGAAAUUAUAGGAUUUUCCUGAGUAACAGUAGUAUGUAACCAGAAAAGUAUAAUGAGUUUGAUAACUAAACUUUACAAUUCACAAUAAAUGAUCUUGUUUUUCAUUGUACAUCGUUUACUUUACUUUUCGGAUUUGGAAACUAACUUUACAUAAGAAAAUAUGGGAUUUUCUUGGAUAACCACGUUUUCAGAAAACUAAGGAAACUCGUAGAAGACUCGUUUCUUGUUGUUUAUAUAUGAUAUGUAUCACUUGUAUAACUUAUGCUUUUGAAACAAAUGUAAAACUUUCAUAUAUGUAAUGUAAUGGUUGAUUUACUUUACUUACUAUGUACAUUGGAUUUGAUACUCAAUGUGGAGUCAACCCCGAAAAUGUUUCCGCCUUCGGUUUUCGGGGUGUGACAGAUUGGUAUCAGAGCCCUUGUUUAUAGUGAAUGAAGUAUACCAAACCUUAGAUGGUAUAAAACUAUAAACAUUAAGGGGCCUAAGUGCUCUGAACUAAAAGUAUCCUUCAAAAUAUAAGUAUUUUCAAAAGUAUAUAAGUAUACCGACCUGUCGAGAUCCGUAACUACAAGUAGAACAGAACAUAAGUAAAUGGGUGUUGUAUGCUGCGGUUAAACCUGGGCAAUUAUGUAGUCAUGUCUAGGAUCAAUAUAGCCUGGCCAGCUAUAUUCAUUCGAGACACGGCCAACAUGUGCUUGGGAGUGACUGUGGUAAGCGGCAUGCCUAAAACUUACCCUAAUACCACAAACAUCGAGCUAGUGUCGUAACAAAUCCUGAAAUACUAUCGGAGUAUUUCUCGAUCCAAUCCUUGGUAGAAAUCCUCGUUCAUAUAUUUUUCUUUGAUCAUCCUCUUAGCGAUAAUUUUCUUGUCUUGAUAACUCUAUCCUUCUUUAUCGCUUAUUCAGCAUAUAUCUGUGAUAUCUCUUGAUUAAAUUCAGAGGACUUAUCAUCCUCUUUUCCUUGAUCUUAUUAGAUCAAGAUGCCUCCAAGAAAGAGACCCAACUCCAAGACCAACAACCCUACGCCACCACCUCCUCCUCAAAUUGACCCUGUAGUAUUCCAGGCAGCUGUUACAGCCACGGUAGCAGCUGCCAUGUCUCAACGGAACUCUGGCGGUUCCGGUGUUUCGGGAGGUAAUACCCAAAACCAAAACCAAGAAAGCAGUCAGGGACGCCGGAAAGAGGGUUCCUAUAAGGAUUUCAUGAACGCCAAACCCACGUCCUCUGAUGGCACUGGAGGUGUGAUUUCCCUCACCCGAUGGUUCCAGAAGAUCGAAUCCAUCUUUGAAAUCUGUGCCUGUUCAGAUUCAGACAAGGUGAAGUUUGCCGCCUGCACCUUUAUCGACAAAGCCUUGACUUGGUGGAACGGCCGAGUCAAAUCCCUAACCUUCCUUGUAGCCAACGCCAUGGUUUGGGAAGCCAUGAAGGAACUUCUGCUGGCUGAGUACUGCCAUCGGGACGAAAUGCAGAAGUUAGAACACGAACUUUGGAACCUGAAGAUGAAAGGUUCCGACAUCACUGCUUAUACUUCCAGGUUCGACGACGUGGCACUACUCUGCCCGGGAAUGGUUACCCCGGAGAGUAAGAAGAUAGAGAGAUUCAUCUUGGGUCUGACCCAGCCAACGAAAGCGAACGUUAUAGCCUCGAGGCCGGAUACAUACGACAGCGCCAAACGCUUAGCACAGAUCCUAAUCGAUCAUAGCGAAGACCUUGAGAAGGCAGCCACCACUCCUGAGCCGACAGUGAGGAGUGGUGAGAAAAGAAAACUUGGGAAGAAAGAGAAAGGCCAGGCAUCGCACGAGUCUUUGAAGAGACAACAAACGGUGGUAGUUCACGCUGUCACUUCCCCUUCAACUGUUUAUGUUGUUGGAUCCUCAACUCGAAAACCUGCCAGUAAGUAUGUUGGAACCCUUCCUAGUUGUGACAAGUGCAACUAUCAUCAUCUUCCUUCCGGUCCAUGUAUAGAGAUAAUUUGCAACAAAUGUAGCAUGAAGGGUCACAUGGCGAAAAACUGUAAGACACCAACCCAAUCAACGAGUUAAACUUCCGGAGCGGGCAUUGGUCGGGCCUGCUAUGGUUGUGGAGAAGUUGGGCAUCUUAAGCGAAACUGUCCCAAGGCUGUAACCCCUGGCAACACCAGAAGAGUUCUAGCGAUAGGUCAAGAGGAGACAGCCACCGAUCCCACCGUUGCCACAGGUAUAUUUUCCCUUGUUAAAUUUAUAUGCCUGUGAUUCUUUUCGAUUCUAGCACCGAAAGAAAUUCGUUAACCAUCCAUUUGAACUUUUUCUAACCCGUCGUUUGCGAGUAACCGAAUAUGUAUAUCUUCGAGAUGGUUAUCACGUGAGAACGAGAACGCUUGAAACGUAUCUGUAGAUUGUAUUCUCAAUCCGAGCGAUAUUUUUUUUUCCAUUCGACCUAGUGGCAAACUUUUUAUGAGAUGCUUUGUUGUCACCAUUAGCAUGUAAUGACUGAGCCUCAUUCAUGCUUUCUUUCCUAGUUUCGAGAAAGCCAUUCGUUCCAACCUUCCUCCGACUCGACUUUCAUGAUAUUCAUACAUCAAAGCUUAAAAAGUAUUUCCAUGUAUUUCUCGUCCGAGUGAUCAUCGAGAAACGAGAAGUCUAUGAUUCUUUCCCCGAUAUUGUUUCCAAAGAAUUCUUGAUAAUUCUUUCCGAACGUGUAGUCAAGUCUCGCAUCGAACUAAUCCCUAAAAUUAUCUCGUAACCAAGCCUCAGUAAGCACGAUAUGUGCAAGUCAGCAAUCAGGGCAUGAUACGAUCACUACGAGGUAGUAGUGGCGCCCUUCGGUCGAACCAUUUUCUUGGUCAUAUAGAUAAGCAAAGCAAUCAUACUCGUAAACCUUUCCAAAAGCUAAGGCAAUAAAGAAUUAGUCGACACCGGGAACACCCAUGGAAACCUGUCGAUUCUUGGGUUCUGCCGACUAUAAUUGUAGACUCAUGUAGAAGUUUCCCUUAGAACCAUCGGACCCUUAGUUACUCUGCCAUGUGACAAUGUACCCAAUUGUUGGAGGUUUUACCCUGGAAAGACAUAGUACGCCUUAAGAAAUGCGGAAAACUUAACUUGUGGAACCUUAGAUUCUUUGAGAUCCUCGUUAGAAACCGAUUCCAUAGUCCUCUCCGAGCUAUCUUCAGGAACUUAGCAGCGAGCAUCCGGUAUUCCACAUCGUUGUUUGUGAGAAGUGCUAACCUGAUGAANUUGGGUAGUUCUCCUACUUUGUCAUGGGAGUCCUUAGGUUUUUGAUUUAGGGUGUUCUUUCAGGAACACACGUGUAGGUGGCCUUGGUUGUCAUUAGGGUUUGUACCGCUGGCACCGCUCUCGUUUCCGUUUGCGUUGUCAGCGCUAAGUUGUACCAUGACGGCUGUCGCAGCGGCUGUUAUGGUGGCUUGAAAUGUAGUGAGGUCCAUUUUUAGAACUAGUGUUUCGUCUAUGGGUUGGUUACUUCCUUUUUGUGGCAUGAUUCUGUUGUAUGGUGUAACAACCCGAAAUUCAUAUCCCUAAAUGUAACCCUUCUCACGACUCGUUCUGAUCAUCCAAUCGCUGUUUCCGAUUUCGUUUCCAUUUCCGAUCUUUUAUUAAGUCGUUGAUGUGGAUUUUAUUUUAUGACCUAAUAAGUGUCUUAAUACCCUUAGAACUCAUUCUAACGUCUCAUAUUAAUGAUCGGAACAUUUCUAGAAUCAACCAUAUCGAGUUACGGCAAAUUGGCCGGGUGCGACCAAAAGCCCCGUCUAACGCCGAUAUCUGGUAGAAUUCUACCGUGUCCAGAACUUGGACACUAUUUAAAGUGAUCCAAGUCUUCAUUUUGAAGCUUUUGCUCCAUUUUACAACUCUCACUCCAACCUCUCUCCUCAAACUAGACUUAAGGGUCCAAAUCUUGAGUUUAAGGCUUCAAAUCACCAAGGUACCUUCCCUAAUUUGUUAUGCAACCUCUCUAGCCUUCAAAUUCGAGUUUAAACCAUGGAUUAGGACCAUUAUCAUGAGUUUACGGCCCUAGAAUAGUCCUAGGCCGUAAACUCAUAUAAAUGGGGUUUUUGGAGCAACAAAACCCUUCCAAACCACAAUUAGACCUUGAAUAUGGCUAGAUGACUUAAUGAAAUGGAACAAGAAUGCCUCAAACCAUGACUUAGAGCCUUAUAUAUGAGUUUACGGCCCAUAAUGGUGCUUAGGCCGUAAACACAUAUUUAAAGGGUUUUUCAGCCCUUAAACCCUUCCAUGGCACAAACAAGACUUAGAUAUGACUUUUAGAAUAUUGGUUAUGGACCUAGAACACCUUAGACAUGAAUUUUGAGUGGUUUAUAUGAGUUUACGGCCAAGGCAUGUGCUUGGGCCGUAAAAUCCUCAAUCAUGGGUGUAAACUCAUUUUUAAGGUGUUAGAAAGCCAUCCAACACCACCAAAAGCCUUGGAAUAAAUCAUAGAACCAACCAAAAAUAGUUUAGGGGAUUUAAACACAACCAAACUCAUCAUUUGAGAGUUUACGGCCAUAGCAUGUGUUCCAUGGCCGUAAACUCCUAAAAGCAUGUCAUUUUGUUCCCCAAAUGCAUUUCAAGGCUUGUAAGGAUUUUAGGAAUCACAUGUGAUUAACUUUGGGACCUUAAAAACAAUUAUUCAAGGGAGUAUGAGAGUUCACGGCCAUAGGCUCCAUGCCAAGGCUGUAAACUCCCUUAAGUGUGAUAUUUGAUGUUAUAAAUUAAUUCCAAGCCUUAGGAAAAAUUAUUCCAAGCAUUUCCAAGUGAUAAUAGCCAUUUAUGACCCUUUAAGCACCAUAAAUCUUGCCAACAUGAGUUCACGGCCGUGAACUCAUGUGUGAGUGGUGUAUAGGCCGUAAAUUUCAUUAGGAACUUUAACUUGGGGAGUAUCUCAAAUCCCAAGUCCCUCGCUUCAAUUCCCGUCCGAAAAUGUCACCCGGGUCACUCCAAACACCCGUUUUGAGGUGUUUUCGUUUGUUGGAGUGUAACAUCAUAUCUAAUUAGAGUUUAUGAAUGUAAUUAGAUAUAUUUGUAUGCCAUUUCAUUUUACAUAGGAACCUCGCGUGUUAUCAGGGCUCGAUUCAAUGUUUAGCAUCCGAAACCGACACAUUUCCACAUCCGGUAAGUUCAUACCCCUACCCUUUUUCAAUGGUUUUUCAAUGUUUUCAGGGGGGGAAUACAAGCAAAAGUACAAGAAUAUCUUAUACUCAAUCGCAUGAUUUCAGAUAAAUGGUUUCAUAAUUGUACAUUUUUUAGAAUUGAAAACCUUUUUAACAAACUGUUUAGACUUGCAGUGUUGUUUGUUUUAACCCGAUUUUCAAUUCUUAUCAUAUACUGUUAUAUUGUAUACUUUACAUAUGAUUGUUCCCACAUAUAUUGAUAGAACACAUAAAAUAUUGUAAUGUCUGUAAUAAAACACUUAGGUUCGAGUGUAAAAGACAGACACCAUUAGAAAACAUAAAACAUAUGUAUCUCCUUAACAAUACACCUAGGCUCGAGUGUGAUAGAUAAAUACCAUCGUAACACAAAAAUCAAUUGUAACGUCCUUAAUAAUACACCUAGGAUCGAGUGUAAAGGAUAAGUAAUCACUAAAUAACUUAGAACAACUGUAAUGUCCUUAAUAAAACACCUAGGCUCGAGUGUAAAGGACAGUCAUCAUUUAGAUAACACCUAGGCUCGAGUGUAAUGUCCUUAAUAAAACACCUAGGCUCGAGUGUAAAGGACAGGCACGUUAGAACUUAGUUAGUCGUAGAUACUACUUCUCUAGGCGAGAAGUGAUGAGUAAUCUUAAAGAUUGGAGACACGUCCUUGUAAC
Molecule: long non-coding RNA, 7081 nt
Filed under: Lactuca sativa (garden lettuce)
Lineage: Eukaryota; Viridiplantae; Streptophyta; Magnoliopsida; Asterales; Asteraceae
Description: long non-coding RNA (LSAT_LNC008320)
Source: RNAcentral